Molecule: non-coding RNA, 120 nt
Organism: Lupinus angustifolius (narrow-leaved blue lupine)
Lineage: Eukaryota; Viridiplantae; Streptophyta; Magnoliopsida; Fabales; Fabaceae
Source: Rfam
ACUUUCAGAUCAUACCAGCAGUAAUGCACCGUAACCCAUCAGAACUCUGUAGUUAAGCGUGCUCGGGCGAGAGUAGUACUAGGACAGGUGACCUCCAGGGAAUUCCUCGUGUUGCACCUC